RNAcentral lists this ribosomal RNA (254 nucleotides) under uncultured bacterium. RNAcentral's name for it is "partial 16S ribosomal RNA". It matches the Rfam family "Bacterial small subunit ribosomal RNA", at positions 524 to 776 of the family's 1533-position model. The record is from RNAcentral.
UACGUAGGGGGCGAGCGUUGUCCGGAUUUAUUGGGCGUAAAGAGCUCGUAGGCGGUUUGGUAAGUCGGGUGUGAAAUCUCCACGCUCAACGUGGAGGGGCCACUCGAUACUGCCAUGACUCGAGUCCGGUAGAGGAGUGUGGAAUUCCCGGUGUAGCGGUGAAAUGCGCAGAUAUCGGGAGGAACAUCAGUGGCGAAAGCGACUUCCUGGACCAAUACUGACGCUCAUGUGCGAAAGCGUGGGGAGCAAACAGG